This 238-nucleotide unclassified non-coding RNA is filed under the name Hevea brasiliensis (rubber tree). Lineage: Eukaryota; Viridiplantae; Streptophyta; Magnoliopsida; Malpighiales; Euphorbiaceae. The record is from RNAcentral.
AAAAAAACCGGAUUCUAGAGACUUGCUGAUAAAUAAUAAAAAUUAGGCAGACAAUUCAACAAGAAAGGCGUAUAAAAUGGAAGUCAUCAAACAUCCCAGGUGCCUCCUCCAUGUCAAACCCACCAAAGAGUUCGCCUCCAGCUCACAUAGUUCUUACACAUUACGAACCAAUUCUUUUUCGGCUGAAUUACGCAUCUGUGCUGUCUGGAUUUUCAGUCUCCAUUGGUUCUCCAGAUGC